Molecule: ribosomal RNA, 960 nt
Filed under: uncultured Planctomycetota bacterium
Lineage: Bacteria; Pseudomonadati; Planctomycetota
Description: uncultured planctomycete partial 16S ribosomal RNA
Rfam family: Bacterial small subunit ribosomal RNA
Source: RNAcentral
UAUAGAAUACUCAAGCUAUGCAUCCAACGCGUUGGGAGCUCUCCCAUAUGGUCGACCUGCAGGCGGCCGCGAAUUCACUAGUGAUUGGAUUAGGCAUGCAAGUCGAACGCGCAAAGCCCUUCGGGGCCGAGCGAGUGGCGAACGGGUGAGUAAUGCAUGAAUACCUACCCCGAUGACUGGGAUAACUACUCGAAAGGGUAGCUAAUACUGGAUGUGGUCCUCACGGACCAAAGCUGGCCUCUGUAUAUGCUGGCGCAUCGGGAGGGGUUCAUGUGCUAUUAGCUUGUUGGUGAGGUAACGGCUCACCAAGGCGAUGAUGGCUAGCCGGCCUGAGAGGGUGUCCGGCCACACUGGGACUGAGACACUGCCCAGACUCCUACGGGAGGCUGCAGUCGAGAAUCUUCCACCAAUGCGCGAAAGCGUGAUGGAGCGACGCCGCGUGGACGAUGAAGGCCUUCGGGUUGUAAAGUCCUGUUGGAUGGGCGUAAUCCCCUAGGGUUAAUACCCCUUAGGGUUGAACUCCCAUCGGAGGAAGCACCGGCUAAAUUCGUGCCAGCAGCCGCGGUAAUACGAAUGGUGCGAGCGUUGUUUGGAAUCACUGGGCAUAAAGAGCACGUAGGCGGUCUCGUAAGUCAUCUGUGAAAUCCCCCGGCUCAACUGGGGAACUGCAGCUGAUACUGCGGGACUAGAGUGCGCGAGGGGAGAGCGGAAUUCCUGGUGGAGCGGUGAUAUGCGUAGAUAUCAGGAGGAACGCUGGAGGCGAAAGCGGCUCUCUGGUGCGCAACUGACGCUGAGGUGCGAAAGCUAGGGGAGCGAACAGGAUUAGAUACCCUGGUAGUCCUAGCCGUAAACGAUGGGCACUAAGUAGAGGGGUUUUAAUCGAAUUCCCGCGGCCGCCAUGGCGGUCGGGAGCAUGCGACGUCGGGCUCAAUUCGCUCUAUAGUGAGUCGUAUUACAAUU